RNAcentral lists this ribosomal RNA (1312 nucleotides) under Triticum aestivum (bread wheat). Its description in RNAcentral is "partial small subunit ribosomal RNA". Lineage: Eukaryota; Viridiplantae; Streptophyta; Magnoliopsida; Poales; Poaceae. The record is from RNAcentral.
GAGCCGGGUCGGGUAUAUUGCCGACGCAGACUGGUGGGCUCGGCUGGAGAGCGCGAGCAGAAGGAGGACCUUGGGGGCUUAGGAGGAGUAGGCGGGGGGGGGGAGGAUAGCAGCAGCUCUACAUGGUAGGGUGCUCUCCGCCGCAGGCGCCGCCCGCUCUAGUUAAGUUUACCCUACUACACUUCCAACUGUUCGUGGCCCUCUUAAUGGAACCAGUAUCACAAUUCCGAGGACAACCAUCUACCGUCUUUCCCUUCCUGAACAACACCAUAUGUUCCCUAUUCGUUAGACUGAGUCUUCUGCGAUACUUCCUUCUUUAAUCCUCUCACUUUCUCCUCCUCCUUGUCCGGUACGCACUCCGUGAACCGAAUCGAGGGCUCGCAUCGUCAGCUGGUUUCCCGUUAGCAAAUCUAUUCGUACUUAUGCGACUCGAUUAUUUCUCCCCUAGAUGGCGUCUCCUAAACCCUCGACCGGUACGACUUCGUCGUGUUCACGUUCCUAAUCCAAAUAUGUUCCGAGGAGUGUUGCUCCUUCUUGGUUCGAGAGAAUCAGGACUGGGAGGAUCUUGCCUCGGACUCGUCCAACUGAAACGUGGACGUUGCUUCGCCCUUCUAAGACUUCUACUAUCCUUCCCCUUUUCCGCCGCGCUUCUCUCCUCUCCCCUGUCUCUUUUUCUCGCCUCCGCACUUUUCGUGAUACUCCCUUUUCUCUCCUUCGCUCUGUUCAUACUCUCAUCUGUGCUGAGCCUCCUGUCCCUCUUCGCGGUGGCGUUCCUAUUCGUCUUCUCCUCCGUACUAAGACUAAUUGCAUCGUCCGAUCGUCGCGACGUUGUCAUAACGAUGACAUGGAAUGAACGUACAAGUUACUGAACCUACGAUGAGAACGAACUAUUACAUCACAUACUAACUUAAGACGAUAGAUAUGGCACGGGGAUAAAGCGUCUUUGUGUAGACGUUGAUGCCUACCUUAGCGUACUGAAGCAACACGGACAACUUCUAACUUUUCUACCACAAAGUACUUCUUCUGACUUUAGCACAGACUACUUAAAAUCAGCCGCGCUUAAAAUAUUAAAGGAACCAAUGAACAAGUUAGUCAAUCUCUUCAAGACGGGGCCCACGUCGUUUUUACCUUCUGGGAAACUUAGUUUUAAAAGAUCCCGGAGACAGAUUCAUAAACUGUAAUAUAAACCUUUCGUUAAAAAAGUAACUGAGUUUGGAGAACGUUCAAAAAAAACAAAAGUAAACAAUUAAUGGGCACGUAACAUCGACCUCGUAUUUAUAAGAUUACCAAGUUGUAAUUAACAUAGAUAUAU